GACGAACGCUGGCGGUGUGCUUCACACAUGCAAGUCGAACGAGGUAGCAAUACCUAGUGGCGGACGGGUGAGUAACGCGUGGGAAUCUGCCCAUAGGUGGGGGAUAACUAGCCGAAAGGUUAGCUAAUACCGCAUAUGCCGAGAGGUAAAAGGAGUAAUCCGCCUUUGGAUGAGCCCGCGUCCGAUUAGCUAGUUGGUAGGGUAAAAGCCUACCAAGGCUACGAUCGGUAGCUGGUCUGAGAGGAUGAUCAGCCACAAUGGGACUGAGACACGGCCCAUACUCCUACGGGAGGCAGCAGUGGGGAAUUUUACGCAAUGGGGGGAAACCCUGACGUAGCGACACCGCGUGAACGAAGAAGCCCUUUGGGGUGUAAAGUUCUGUCGGCUGGAACGAAAAAAUGACGGUACCAGCAAAGGAAGCAUCGGCUAACUACGUGCCAGCAGCCGCGGUAA
RNAcentral lists this ribosomal RNA (453 nucleotides) under uncultured bacterium. RNAcentral describes it as "bacterial SSU rRNA". It matches the Rfam family "Bacterial small subunit ribosomal RNA", at positions 28 to 523 of the family's 1533-position model. The record is from RNAcentral.